RNAcentral lists this ribosomal RNA (363 nucleotides) under Triticum aestivum (bread wheat). RNAcentral's name for it is "partial small subunit ribosomal RNA". The record is from RNAcentral. Lineage: Eukaryota; Viridiplantae; Streptophyta; Magnoliopsida; Poales; Poaceae.
AUGUCUUCGGCGCGGUUGGUGCCGGGCCGAGAAGAAGCGGCGCCGCCCAUGGACCCUCCUGCUGCUGGCGCCAAGAAGGAGGAGGUCACCAUCAUCAUCGCCCUCCCCAACGACGUCCUAGGCACCAUCAUCUCCGCGCACCCAAUCGACAAGGCCGCCCGCACAAACGCCAUCUCCAAAGGCUGGAAACACCUCUGGCGCGACCAAUUAGUUUUAAAUCGCGGGCGAAACUCGAGCGAUCCUGGCGCAAUCGCUGGCUGGGAGCCUCCCCGCGACGCUAUCGUUGAAAAAACGCGAUCUGCGGUAAUCACGCGAUCGCUGCGCGAAACGACGCUAAAUCCCUUCGCGGUCGCUGCAAUUUAG